This is a long non-coding RNA of Pan troglodytes (chimpanzee), 1245 nucleotides long. RefSeq lists it as uncharacterized. The record is from RefSeq and is a predicted model, not a curated record. NCBI's taxonomy places the organism in Eukaryota, Metazoa, Chordata, Mammalia, Primates, Hominidae. The transcript has 3 exons.
GGGGGAUGACGCCCCCCCCUUGACCUCUUCCUCCAGGAGCCGGGACCAAAAUAACCGGGCGGGAGGGGACACCUCGCAGGGUCAUCCUCCUCUAAGAUUCCAGGACCAUGAUCAUCCCUCUAUUGCUGCUUCUUAGAUCAGCUUGUAAUGUCCGUCUCCCCCACCAGACUGCGUCUCCAGCAUCUCUGAGUCCCCAGGGCCUGGCCUGGGGCUUGCUACAUGGUGGGCGCCCAGUAACUGUGAGAUGGAGUCUUGCUCUGUUGCCCAGGCUGGAGUGCAGUGGCGUGAUCUCGGCUCACUGCAACCUCCGCCUCCCAGGUUCAAGCAAUUCUUCCACCUCAGCCUCCUGAGUAGCUGGGACUACAGGCACGCACCACGCCUGGCCAAUUUUUUUUUGUAUUUUUAGUAGAGAUGGGGUUUCACCAUGUUGCCCAGGCUGGUCUUGAACUCCUGACCUCAAGUGAUCCACCUGCCUUGGCCUCUCAAAGUGCUGGGAUUACAGGCAUAAGCAACUGCGCGGCCUUUUUUUUUUUUUUUUUUUAGAUGGAGUCUUGUUCUGUCACCCAGGCUGGAGUGCAGUGGCACAAUCUCAGCUCAUUACAAUCUCUGCCUACCGGGUUCAAGUUAUUCUCCCACCUCAGCCUCCCAAGUAGCUGGAAUUACAGGCACGAGCCACCACAUCCAGCUAUUUUUUUUGUAUUUUUAGUAGACAUGGGGUUUCACCAUGUUGGCCAGGCUAGUCUCGAACUCCUGACCUCAAGUGAUCCACCUGCUUUGGCCUCCCAAAGUGCUGGAAUUGAUUACAGGCAUGAGCCACCAUGCCUGGCCAUUAUUCUAUAAUAUAUCUUUUUUUUUUUUUUUUUUUUUUUUAAUUGAGACGGAGUCUCGCUCUGUUGCCCAGGCUGGAGUGCAGUGGCGCAAUCGCGGCUCACUGCAAGCUCCGCCUCUCAGGUUCACGCCAUUCUCCUGCCUCAGCCUCUCCGAGCAGCUGGGACUACAGGCGCCCACCACCACACCCGGCUAAUUUUUUGUAUUUUUAGUAGAGACGGGGUUUCACCGUGGUCUUGAUCUCCUGACCUCGUGAUCCACCCGCCUCGGCCUCCCAAAGUGCUGGGAUUACAAGCCUGAGCCACCGCGCCCGGCUAUAAUACAUCUUAAUUGUGGUGGUAACAUGGGCAUAUUCCUUUGGCAAAACUAUUUGAACUGUACACUUAAAAUGUGCAUUUUAUUACAUAAAUCAUACCU